GACAAGAAGAAAGCUGCUUUCACCUUGUCCCCAGAUGUUUUCACCAGGCAGCCUGUCCCCAAACUGCAAAGGCACAGUUCCCAAUCUCUUCUCUGACAUCACAUCAUCUUGUUGCCAAGAGACACCAGCUCCGCCCAGCACUGGAAGGCAAUUUUCAAGACCCCGAACUGAACUGAAAGCAUUGAGAAGUUUCCCAUUAUAACAAGAAAAUAACUCCUCACGUUGGAAAAAAUACAACUCUUCAGCAUUAAGGAAGAAGGGAAACAGCCACCGUGCCACCGGGGAGCCUUCUCCUCUCCAGGUUACACAGCCCCUUAUAAAACUUCCUACCUUGAUCAUUUUGGGGAGGAACCAAGAUCCAAAGGAAAGAACACAGGAGUUGAAAGGCAUGCGUGUCUGAAGGCAUCACAGAGGAGGCUGCCAACGCUCACUGUUUCCUGGGAGCAUCCCAUCAAUGAAUGUCGUCGGUCGGCGGCCCGCAGAGUGAAGACUCAUGCCCUGCCUGACAUUGCUCCUGAGAUGUGGUUUCUGCACAAGCUGGCUACACAUAUUCAGUUUUACAGUAAGAAGACGCCUCCUAGGCCCUGUGACAUUAAUGACACCACGACAUCUUAUUCUAGUGUUGGUCCAAAUGUCAUUCAUUGAAUAAAUGAUGUCACUAACUGAAUCCAGGGUUGAGGUUUGAAAAAAGACCUGCUUCAUUCAACAAAUAAUAUUUUAGAUAAACAUGAAUUCACUUAUUCUUUAUAAGUGAAUUUUCCUCCCAUAUGAAUGGACUCUCCAUAACUCCUAUAAUAAGGCUGCUAAGCCCAAAUCAGCUUGCGUGCUGUUUAAUAACCAAGAAAUGGUAGGAGACUGUACUUCAUUUACUGGGUGUUUAUUAAGUACCUACUAUGCACAGAGCAUUGUUCAGGUGUUGAGGCCCCAGGAAAUGAACAAAGUGAACUUGUUCCUUGUCUUCUUGGAGUUCACUGCCUAAUAGGACACGGACAAGGUAACAGGCAAUUCUAAUGCUAUGUACCAGGAAAGGGUGACAGUAAGCAGCAGCUGAGAUGCGUUACAAAGCAUCAGCCCUACUCCAGAGGAGGCUUUUCAGCAGAAUACAAUGCCAGCAGAGGCCGGGAGGAUAGAAAGUGUUGUCCUGGCCAGAGGAGGCCGUGAGCCCUGCGCAGGAUGGAAGCGAUAAGGGCUUGGAGGCCGGGGAAGGCCUGAGCGGUCACAGCAUCAGCAGCAGGUUUUCUGCACUGUGGUUUGAACUUAAAAUACAAAGAGGAGUGCUGAGGGCUGGGACUGAAGAGACCCUCCUAGCUGGCCUCACCCAGCCAAGAAGAGAGGAGCACAGCCCCAGCUGUCCCCAGGACCCCCUAGUUUACACAUACUUACGAUGACUCUCUGCUACUUCUGCCUGCCCAGCAACCCAUCCUCUGGCUUCUGACAAUAAAUCAUCAAUUUUCCCUUUGAUGAACUUUCCUGCCCCGUCUCUGUCUAUCAUGGUGGGAUCAGCCCUACCUUUGCUCACAAAAUUUCAGGCCUGAAGAACAGGCACAAAAAUUCAGACCUGAAAACCAAUAUUCCUGCAUCUCCUGGCCAUGUGACUGAUUCAGCAGACAGUAUGUGUCCAAAGACUCACACCCUGAACUUAGUCUGAACUACUGGGGAGGAAGAAUGCUUCCCAUUGGUGGACUGAGACAACAGAAUGUCAACCCAGAGCUCCAGGCAGCCAACUGCUCCCCCGUUCAUUCAUUCAAUGAUAGUUAAAUAAUUAGCUAGUAUGUACCUCAGACUAUAAGCAUUAGGAAUACAGAAAAUUUAAAAAAAAAACAAUUCUUCAUAAGUUUUCACACUCAACUGCAGAGGCAAAUAAAAUCACAUCCUUGAUAAGUGUUAGAGGUUACGUAGAUUAUCAUAGGUGCAGGGAAGGGCAGCCAACUUGGCUUCCUGGGGGAGAAAGUGUUCAUUGAACCUUGUUGGAUAAUUAAAAUUUAUUUGGGUAAGUUGGGGGAAGGGUCCGGAAGAAGAAUCAGGAAGUGCCCAGGCAUGGAGGGGGUGUUCAGAUGAGUGAGUUCUGGUGAUCCUCCACAUUCAGUCAGGCUGGAGGGUGCUGCCACACAGCCAUAUGGGGAAAAAAGUCCCGUCAAGUCAGCACUGACUGAAACAUGGAGGCUUCAGAUCUCUGCGGAAGAUUAAAAGCAGGGGGUAGCAUGAAGAUCACACAAGUCACAAUGUAGAUGGUUUCGGAAUGUGAGGCUGCAGACAAGGUGAACCUUAGGUCGCAAUUACCAUGGUCCUCCUCAAAACAGUGCUCAACCAAAGCACAGGUGAAAAGGGAGCAGACAGUGGGACAGACAGCAGGAAGAAUAAAUAGGAUGUAGAAGUUAGCUGGCCUUCUACAGCUCUGGACUGGUGACUGUAGAUGAUAAUGCCCCUGAUCCAGUGAAAUUCGGUUUAUUGGGAGAAUCAGGUUUUAUGAGCAAAGGUAAUUUCAGGUUGGGCCACAGUAAGUUGAGAUGUCCCCAGGACAAUGUACUAGAGGUGGCUAGGCAGUGACAGUGAGUCAGGAACUCAGGGAGAAGUCUGAGGAGCAUACACUUUGGGUGGGUGGUGUUCAUCUCUUUAUCCGUCGUCUCUUAAUCCUUAAGAUCUAUAUGGAGUUUAUGGAGUAUUGUCAGCAUGUGUCAUAAUUAAAAUCCUGGCUAUGAAUGAGGUUAUCAAGGAUGAGCACAGACUUCAAAAUAAGAAAAGGACACAUUAAGGUAAAAAGCAGAGAAAGAUAGAGAUGCACAAAGACCAAGACGGGAGUCAGAACAGCAUCAGGGCAGCCAAGGAGGAGGGAGUGUCAGAAAGAGGAAGAGAUAGAAAGAACAGAUUUAGUUAGAGAUCAAGUCACAUAAGAAGGGAACGUGUCCACAGGAAUCUAUAAGGUUGGUGAAGGAUCAGGAAAGGGAGAGGAUGGUGGGAAGGGAUUGCGGGUUGCUUGGUUGGUUGGUAUAAAAUGAAAGACUCUUGAAUGUGUUUUUACACAAGAUGGAAGAUCUGGCAUAAAGGAGAGGCCGAGAUGCAAGAGGAAUAGCAGAGUAAUGAGCAUGGUGGUCCCUGCGAGGCUGAUGGGGAUGGAUGGUCAGGAGAAGGGCUGUGCCCCAGGUCGAGAAGUACACCUCUGCCUUUGAGAAGGGAGGAAGGCAGCAAGAGAUAGGAGAAUGGCCAUGUAGAUAAUUGUGUGAACUAGGCUAAGCAAGGUUGAUGGGGAAACAGUAUAUAUAAUAAUCAUGUUAAAGAAAUCCGUUUCAUCUAUCAUUUCUCUUAAAACGUGAAACUCCCACAGUUUCCAUCAAGAAUGACUAAGCUGAUGGUGAGGGGUCUUGAAAAGCUAAGAUGCACCACACAGUCACGUGGUGGGCAGAUUCUAUUCUAUUUGAAACCACAGCCUGCCUUAUUUUUUGACUCAAGUUAAAUUUUUUUCAAACAUAAGCCUGUCGGUCAUGCCUAUUUUAAGCAAUUUCAUUUUCCUUGGUGUCGGGCUUUCUUAUCUUUGUCCUUCAAAUUCAGCAUCAGUAGAGAUACUCGUUCCAAUCACUAACCAUUUGAAAAUAGAAGCCAGGCAUUUAAGAUGAUUCCGUGGGGUUAGCUCCUUUAAGAAUCUUUCUCAAAAGCAACCCUUUCUCCUACGAAUGUCUUAUUGUAAGUGGGCCCUUCUAGGAGGAUUCUUCCAGUUUCUGCCAGAGAAUAUCACAAUCUGAUGAGGCCUGGUUGGUGACAGGGGAGACCCAUUGAGUAAGUAAAGCACCCCUCCCAAAAUACAAUGCUGUUUGGAAGCUGUUCCUCAAGGGGAGACUCACACCAGGUGAAGAACCAACUACUGAAGAGGUUAGCCAUUCCCACGCAUCCGUUUUCCUAGCACACAAGCUACAGCCAGAGUGCCAUAUGGUUCAUGGCGUCAAUGCCAGGACCCAAAUCCAGGUCUGCAGCCUACCAGCCUCAUGUUCAUUCCUCCUCUCAUAACACCUGUUUUUCCUGCUGGGACACAAACUCCACGGAGCAGCAACCUCUUCAUCUUAUUCACUUAGGUAUACACAGCAUGGAGGUGACAAUCAGAAAUAGCUGUUGGUCAAUACGUUAACUGCACCUGGGAUGGAGCACUGGUGGUCAUUUGUAAGGUUUCAUGCAGCUCCGGACAUCAAAGAGUCUCACCAGAAAGAAAAAAACAUCACCAACCCAUACACACAUGGUUUAUGGACUCUGAAAUGCCAGGAACUCUGGACAUGACUUCCAGAGUGGAAGUCUUGGGAACAGCAGCCACAGAGCCACCUCUUAGUUAACGGGAUCUGUGCCAGGGUUUCAUUUGUCAUGGAGUUGGCAGGCAUCAGGCCCCUACUCAUCCAUGUAGCUUGAGAACAGAAGUUUCCACAUUGCUUCUAAGUCAGCUUUAACCAGUUUGAAUCCUUCUUAAAAUAUUUAACAGGCCUCUCCUCUCCCCAAACACUGUAGUUGCUAAGCCUCCUUUCAUCUUACCAUAAUCAAACUUGCCUCAAUUUUUAUGUAAUUUUUAUGCACAUUAGCCAUGCAUUCCAUCCCACAGGGGACAGCCCCUGCCAGGGUAUGCGGGUGCUGUACAAAGUUAGGGUUUAAACACGGCAUAGCCUGUCUGAGGUUAGUUUUUACAAAAAAGAUCCUGUUAAGUUCUUCAUUUUGCUGAAACCAUGUGCUGGCUUAAUGCCUUUUUUCUCUGGUUAAGACCUAAGACUUCUCAAAGGAAUGUGCUAGAAGGGUCUCCAGUGGGAAUUGUAUUCCCUCUCAGCAUUUUUCAUUUGGGUUCCGUCUGGGUUAAUUGGUUAAUGGUGAAAAUAAGUACUUACAUCUUUUGCCACUAAAUCAGGAGUUCCUGCUGCUGCUUCUGCUACAUCCCCUCAUGACAGCCUGCUAUUACUCACAGCUGGCAGACACUGUAAAAAGUGAUGCCACGUCAGCCACGCAGAACCUUUCUGCUUCAGCCACAGUUUCCCAACGGAAUGAUUUAGUAUGUAGUUCCCAAGGCUGGAAACAUGACCUGACCACCAUAUUGAGAAGGUCUGAAUUAAAGCAGACACUACUUGAAAUUACAGAAAGAAAGCACAAAUACCUCUUAGGGUAUCUGAGUGAAAACCCCAAGGAGAACAUAAAUAUUACAUUGACUUUUUAAAUAAUCAUGACAGCAGGUUAAUAAUUGACCAAAAAAGGGGUAUCUGCAUUAGAAAUUUAAAGAAAACUUAGGGACUUUUAGCAUUAUGGAUGUUAGUUCAUUAAAAAAUUAUGAAUUUGGGCUGGGAUUGCGGCUCAGCAGUAGAGGGCUCACCUAGCAUGUGUGAGGCCCUGGGUUGGAUCCUCAGCACCACAUGAAAAUAAAUAAAUAAAGGUAUUUUUAAAAAAUAUUAUAUGUGAGUGUCUAUGUAUCCAUACAGAUAAAUGGAUAUAAAAGUUACAUAUCUGGAAAUUAAUAAUGCUUCCUUUGUUUGAGAGAGAAAAUAUGAAAGGGAGUAUUGAUAGAGAUGGAAAUAACUUUUUAAAAGGCUUCAAAAUGAUCUUGUAAAAAAUGAAAAAUAAAAAUAAAAAGG
Molecule: long non-coding RNA, 5588 nt
Organism: Marmota monax (woodchuck)
Lineage: Eukaryota; Metazoa; Chordata; Mammalia; Rodentia; Sciuridae
Exons: 4
Source: RefSeq, a predicted model, not a curated record